Molecule: RNA transcript, 2059 nt
Organism: Mangifera indica (mango)
Lineage: Eukaryota; Viridiplantae; Streptophyta; Magnoliopsida; Sapindales; Anacardiaceae
Gene name: squalene synthase 2-like
Exons: 14
Source: RefSeq, a predicted model, not a curated record
UACAGAACAUUAGAAAAGAUUGGCCAUUUGGACGCCAUAGCCAUGCCAAGCGACAAGUUGUUGGCGCCAGAAAGAUUGGGGUCAUUCACAAGUUUCAACGAAUGUUCUUCAUUCUGUAAUAUUUGUUUGAAUCUAAAACCAAAAUUUAGAUAUUAAUUUAUCAUUCGAAAUCUACAACUAGACGCCAAAUCCUAAGCACAAUACGAAUACCCACUAAUCUGAUCGACAGUGUUGUGGGCUUCAAUCCGUGAAGAGGGUUGAGAGAUGGGAACUUUGGGAGCGGUUUUAAGGCACCCAGAUGAUUUUUACCCCCUGUUGAAUCUGAAAAUGGCGGUGCACAAUGCUGCCAAGCAGAUCCCACCUGAGCCUCACUGGGCUUUUUGUUAUACUAUGCUUCAGAAAGUCUCUCGUAGUUUUGCUCUCGUAAUUCAGCAGCUUGAUACCGACCUCAGAAACGCUCAUUUGUGGAUAUGCAGGUAUGCAUAUUUUAUUUGGUUCUUCGUGCUCUUGACACUGUUGAGGAUGAUACAAGCAUCCCAACAGAGGUCAAGGUGCCUAUUCUCUUGGCUUUUCAUAGUCAUGUGUAUGAUUGUGACUGGCAUUUUUCAUGCGGUACAAAGCAUUACAAAGUUCUCAUGGACCAGUUUCAUCAUGUUUCAACUGCUUUUCUUGAGCUUGGAAGGGAUUAUCAGAAACCAAUUGAGGAUAUUACCCAAAAAAUGGGUGCAGGAAUGGCAAAAUUUAUUUGCAAGGAGGUUCGUGAAUCAUAUUGAAACAAUUGAUGACUAUGAUGAAUAUUGCCACUAUGUCGCUGGACUUGUUGGAUUAGGCUUAUCUAAGCUUUUCCAUGCCUCUGGGAAGGAAGAUAUGGUGCCGGAUGAUCUUUCGAAUUCAAUGGGUUUAUUUCUGCAGAAAGCAAAUAUCAUUCGAGAUUACCUGGAGGAUAUUAAUGAGAUACCAAAGUCGCGGAUGUUUUGGCCUUGUGAGAUCUGGAAUAAAUACGUUAAUAAACUAGAGGACUUAAAGUACGAGGAAAAUUUGGUCAAGGCAGUGGAAUGCUUGAAUGACAUGGUUACCAAUGCUUUGACACAUGUGCAAGAUUGUUUCAAGUACAUGUCUGUAUUACGAAAUCCUGCUAUAUUCCGAUUCUGUGCUAUACCUCAGGUUAUGGCAAUCGGAACAUUAGCAUUAUGCUACAACAACAUUGAAGUCUUCAGAGGUGUAGUGAAAAUGAGACGUGGUCUCACUGCUAAAGUCAUUGACCGAACAAAUAAAAUGUCUGACGUUUAUGGUGCCUUCUAUGAUUUCUCUUGUAUACUGAAGUCCAAGAUCAAGAAGAAUGAUCCCAAUGCAACAAAAACCUUGAGCCAGAUUAAUGCUAUACAGAAAAUAUGCAUAGAUUCUGGGGUCCUAGGCAGAAGGAAAUCUUACAUAAUCCAAAAUGGGCCAAAAUACAAUUCAACCAUGAUUGUCCUACUUUUCGUUAUACUAGCCAUCAUUUUCUCAUAUCUCUCUGCCAACCGAGCAACAAAUUAGUGUUAAGUUCAGCUACAGGAAUACACUUAAACAAAUUCUCUCAGGAAUUAAAUCUAAUUACUCCUUCCCAUUCGGCAUUCGGCAUUCACAUGAACUUAUUUCUGUGUCCAUGGAAGAAGCAUAUGGGUUAUCGAGGCUCUAAAAUUGUUGCAUCCAAAUAAGAACAAGGCUACAAUGCUAAUCUCUUUCGUGUAGAGCAUAAUCAAUACUGUUUGCCCUUAAAUAUCUUCAGAGCAAAACACAAUUCAGGCUCAGAAAAUUUCAGGCUAGGAAUUGUUUUACUGGAACCAAACAAUUUUUGAUGUUUUCAGUGUUAUGAAGAUGCCUCCCUGAAACUGUGAAGGAUGCAGAUGAAGUGUUCUAUCAAUAUCAAAAGUUCUAUAAAUAAUUAGAAGUGUCUGUUAUUUGACUUGAAUAACUCGCAAAAAUGUAGAUAAUGGACUUUUUUCUUAUUUGAAUUUAUAUAUUCUUGUAAGACCAUUUAAUUUGAAUUUAAAAUGUGCUCUGAAAACUGUUAUAAUUA